Molecule: long non-coding RNA, 1143 nt
Organism: Formica exsecta
Lineage: Eukaryota; Metazoa; Arthropoda; Insecta; Hymenoptera; Formicidae
Exons: 3
Source: RefSeq, a predicted model, not a curated record
CCUCGAUUCGAGAUUUACGAGCGAGCGAAGCCUUUCGAAACGCACCGCCAUUUAUUUAUAGUUACGGAGAAUCACUUAUUGCAACCCGUUCGUUCACUUUCUUCUCUCUCUUUCUUUCUCCGUCGGGUUCUUUCUCCCUGGCCUUCUUCAUCGCCCGCACGCGUGAGCGCUUUUAACGCCCGAUGUCGAAGACGACCACCCGCGGUAUUGAAGUGGUACGGGAAUGCGGCUGCGGACAAACAUCAGAUGCAAUUUCGUGCAUCGACAGAAACGCAGCUUCGGAGAACCGGCACGAAAGUGGAUCUACAUGCUCGUAAUUAUGUCAUGUUCGCGCGUAUGUUAAAAUAAUGCAGGAGCUGCAUUACGGUAGCGACAAUGCCGUUUACACCAGUCAACGCUAAUGUCCGACUUUCUGAGAGGUCCCGCGUGGUCUCUUUCUCUUUAUCGGAGACAGCGGACCCUGAGGUAGUAGCCGACGACGAGCAAGUUAUUUGCUUCGCAGAAGUGAUAAACAUAACAUGUUCACGCGCAGGGUAAAAAGGGCCGCUGUAUGCAUGUUGUCUCUCCCAAUUGCCUCUGAUGCCGCAAUCGUUCAACGACACGAAUGAGCUUCUCUGGCCAUUUUGGCCUUCAACAGCAGCCGUAGAUAAAUGAGACAUUCAAUUCGUCAAGUUUUUGUAUGCUCGACGUGUACUGUAUAUUGAAGUGUCUGCGUUGAAAUAUUCAGUAAUUAGAUGCGGAUUGGUGAAGAAAGGACCUUGGUUGAGAAUAUGAUUUCUGAAAGAAAAGCACAAGAAAAUAUUGCUUUGAAAGAUAUUGCUUUUGAUUAAAAUUAUAUUUAAAUAUUUUUCUGGAGUCAACAUAUAAUUACCAUUAUAGUUAAAGAAAUUUAUUUAUGUAUCAGGAAACAUUACUACAGUAAAUAUGAUAAAUUGUUUUAUGCAAGAAUAGUUAGGGACUUCUAUAUUCAACUCAGAUGGAAAUUGAAAGAUUGAUCACAUACACACACACAGAUACAUAAUAAAAUAAAACUUUUUAAUCUAUUUUUGAUGGAAACUAAUAUUACUGAUAACAUUGAGCAGGUGGUAUAAUAUUCUAUGGAAUGUAAAUAAAAAUGGAUGCACAUGUGUGUCAUAUAUACCA